This 303-nucleotide ribosomal RNA is filed under the name uncultured bacterium. RNAcentral describes it as "partial 16S ribosomal RNA". It matches the Rfam family "Bacterial small subunit ribosomal RNA", at positions 507 to 807 of the family's 1533-position model. The record is from RNAcentral.
AGCAGUAGCCGCGGGAAUACGUAGGGUGCAAGCGUUAAUCGGAAUUACUGGGCGUAAAGCGUACGCAGGCGGUUUGUUAAGUCAGAUGUGAAAUCCCCGAGCUUAACUCGGGAACUGCAUUUGAAACUGGCAAGCUAGAGUCUCGUAGAGGGGGGUAGAAUUCCAGGUGUAGCGGUGAAAUGCGUAGAGAUCUGGAGGAAUACCGGUGGCGAAGGCGGCCCCCUGGACAAAGACUGACGCUCAGGUGCGAAAGCGUGGGGAGCAAACAGGAUUAGAUACCCGAGUAGUCCCUGUCUCUUAUAC